Molecule: ribosomal RNA, 873 nt
Filed under: uncultured bacterium
Lineage: Bacteria
Description: bacterial SSU rRNA
Rfam family: Bacterial small subunit ribosomal RNA
Source: RNAcentral
UUGGGGCUUGAGUAUCAGAGGGGAAAGUGGAAUUCCUAGUGGAGCGGUAAAAUGCACAGAGAUUAGGAGGAACACCGGUGGCGAAGGCGACUUUCUGGCUGACAACUGACGCUGAGGCGCGAAAGCGUGGGGAGCAAACAGGAUUAGAUACCCUGGUAGUCCACGCCGUAAACGAUGAUUACUGGGUGUAGGGAGUAUCGACUCUCUCUGUGCCGAAGCAAACGCGAUAAGUAAUCCACCUGGGGAGUACGGCCGCAAGGCUAAAACUCAAAGGAAUUGACGGGGACCCGCACAAGCAGUGGAGUAUGUGGUUUAAUUCGAGGCAACGCGAAGAACCUUACCAGGGAUUGACAUCCUGCGCUAGGCUUGGAGACAGGCUGUUCCUUCGGGACGCAGAGACAGGUGGUGCAUGGUUGUCGUCAGCUCGUGUCGUGAGAUGUUCGGUUAAGUCCGGCAACGAGCGCAACCCUUGUUGUCAGUUACCAUCAUUAAGUUGGGGACUUUGGCGAGACUGCCGUUGACAAAACGGAGGAAGGUGGGGAUGACGUCAAAUCAUCAUGCCCCUUAUAUCCUGGGCUACACACGUACUACAAUGGGCGUUACAGCGGGCAGCCACACCGCGAGGUGGAGCGAAUCCCGAAAGGCGUCCUCAGUUCGGAUUGCAGGCUGCAACUCGCCUGCAUGAAGUCGGAAUUGCUAGUAAUGGCAGGUCAGCAUACUGCCGUGAAUACGUUCCCGGGUCUUGUACACACCGCCCGUCACACCAUGAGAGUCUGUAACACCCGAAGUCAGUAGUCUAACCUGAUUAGAUUAGGGGGACGCUGCCGAAGGUGGGAUAGAUAAUUGGGGUGAAGUCGUAACAAGGUAACCGUA